AGUGAACGCUGGCGGUAGGCCUAACACAUGCAAGUCGAACGGCAGCACAGGAGAGCUUGCUCUCUGGGUGGCGAGUGGCGGACGGGUGAGGAAUACAUCGGAAUCUACCUUUUCGUGGGGGAUAACGUAGGGAAACUUACGCUAAUACCGCAUACGACCUACGGGUGAAAGUGGGGGACCGCAAGGCCUCACGCGAUUAGAUGAGCCGAUGUCCGAUUAGCUAGUUGGCGGGGUAAUGGCCCACCAAGGCGACGAUCGGUAGCUGGUCUGAGAGGAUGAUCAGCCAAAUGGGAAGUGGGAAACGGGCCAAACCCCUAGGGGAGGCAGAAGGGGGGAAAAUUGGACAAUGGGAGCAAGCCUGAUCCAGCCAUACCGGGUGGGUGAAGAAGGCCUUCGGGUUGUAAAGCCCUUUUGUGGGGAAAAAAAUCCUGGAGAUUAAAACUCGGGGGGGAGGACGGAACCCAAAAAAUAAGCACCGGCUAACUUCGU
Molecule: ribosomal RNA, 489 nt
Filed under: uncultured bacterium
Lineage: Bacteria
Description: partial 16S ribosomal RNA
Rfam family: Bacterial small subunit ribosomal RNA
Source: RNAcentral